Molecule: long non-coding RNA, 2574 nt
Filed under: Nicotiana tabacum (common tobacco)
Lineage: Eukaryota; Viridiplantae; Streptophyta; Magnoliopsida; Solanales; Solanaceae
Description: long non-coding RNA (NTAB_LNC008324)
Source: RNAcentral
GAGGGAAAAAGAGUUAGUAACUUAAUUGUAUUACAUAAAGGAAUGUCAACAAGUGAUAGCUUGCAAUUAAACUAUGUUUCUUCUUUCAGCUAAUCAAGUCUAUGUGGAUUUUAAAACAAGAGAUAGUACGGGUUAAACUUCAUUUAAGCACUCAAAUUGGAUCUCUAAAAGAUUUCCUGUGAGUACGAAAAAUGAGCCUUAGGUCAAAGGCCCUAAACAUCUUUAGCCUUCUUAAAUCAGGACAUGCUACAUGCAUUUGAGUGAGCCCAAAAAUUGGACUUAAUCCCGUUCAAAGUCUUCAUGACUCCAAACUCGUUUCAAAGCCUUGUUGGGCCAAUUAUUUAGGCCCAAUGAACCCUGGUAACAAAGCUCGAUGACUCACAAUUCAAAGUUUCAUCCAUCAUUGAAAAGGAACAAAAUGAUUUUACACAUAAUUCAGACGUUGAUACAUAUCGUUCAAGUUCUAAUUACAACACCAACCUCUCAUAACUAGAAUUACAGCUGAAAUACUUCAGUAAUAGCUAUUCUAAUAACAAUCUAAAUUAAUUGUGACCUAUAAUUUGAAUACCACACACUGAAAUACUAGAAAAUUUGUUCUUCUCCAACAAAUACACAUGUCAACUGAAAUUUACCUUUUAGACUCGAGGUUUAAAGCUCUACUAUUUCAAAAAUAUACUAUCAUCUUGGUUAUAUUGAUCAAAUAUUGCCAUGAGCAAAAUCUAUGUGUUAAAUGCUUUAUAUAGCCCUUUCAAAUGCGCAGUUUAAAAUUUAACAUUCCUUUAUCCUCAAAAUCAGUGCUCCAAAUGCUAAUAAUUCAAGCGUAUUUUUCUUAUUCGUAUAAUGCUUGCCAAUAAAUAGAAUUUUUCAAAAAUAUUAAUUCUGAAAUUAUUAUAAAUCAGAAGGAUCAUACAUUCAACAAGCAAACUAAACCAUCAGAUGAGUACAUGUUAAAAGUCCUUUAAAUUCAAUCAAGUCAUGUGCAUAUAAUGUUAGGUCUAAAGCUAUAUGGAUCUAUCAUACAAACAAAAUAGAAAUGGAUUCCCAGGAAGUAAUAUGACAGGAGAGUAUCACUAUUUAAUCAUUCAAAGUGUAUAUAACACAUGAUCAAAUGAACUCACUAGAGAUGAACCAAAUAAAGGUCAGAAACAAGCUUGAAUAGAAUUCAGCAACCAAUCCAGCAAUCAAUCAACAUCUUUGAGAAUUUCGACCACUCUUAGAAUCCCAAAAAUUACUAAACAACAAUAAAUAAAACCUAAGAUAUGGCUAGACGAAAGCUGAGGAAAUGUUUGAAAUUCAACAACAAUAGCGGAAAUGAAACAAACUAAGAGAAUUUUUUUUUUUUGUUGAUGUUUUUCUAAAAAUUUAAAAGGAAGCUGGAGUUCUGGAAAAAAAAUUUUACUGAAGUUUGAGUGAAUUUUUUAGAGUUUCUUUUCUUAGAAGAAAUCAGUGAUGAAGAGAGAAAUAUAUCAGUAAUUUCUGCAGAGAAUUUCGUGUGAGGGAGUGAAGAAAUGUGAGGUCUUAUAUAGAAAAUGGUGUGCAAGAGGAUAGAGAAUGAAAGACAGUCUAAGAGGGAAUAUGUCAGCUCCUAAAUUUUAGGGAAUGACAUCUUUUUUAAUAAUUUUUGGAAAGUUGUCCCUGUUUCCAGAUAUUUAUUUCAUUUUAAGCAUCUUUUCUUAACAAAUUAGGACAGUUGUCCCUUUUCUCCAGCUGCUCUUUUUCUAGAAACAUCUAAAAGACUCUCCUAAAGUUCUUUAUUUCAAUUAACUCUAUUAAGUUGCUAAUAUUCAAAAAAAUAAGGACAUCAAGCAGACUGUAAAGAUCAAAUGGGCACACAGUUAAUUGAACUAGCAAACAAUUUUAAUCUACAAAAUAUUCCAACAUAUAAUUAAACUCAAAAGUCGAUUAAACUAAAUAUUGGCAAUUAAAUAUAAUUAGCAUGCAAUUAAGAAAUCCAAUCAUACACAUGUAUUAAAAUAGAUGUUAAUUAACAGAUCAAUUAACUAACUUAUGUGCUAAAGCUGAUCUAAUUAGGCUAAUUUUAACACUCAAUCAAGCAAUUUCAAUUAUGUCUAAAAGAUUAUCUCUCUCUCUCUCACUCUCUCUCUCUUUUUCUUAACAAAUUAAAACCAUAAUGAGAUAGAACAAGGUGAGGAUGUACCUAUGGAAAGAAGUAUGAACUGAUAGCGGUGAUUCCAACGGGGUUCGGUCAGUCAGGAAAAAAUCGACCGGAUUUUGACGACUUUCGAAGUGACCCAAAAUUAAUGCUAGUCGAUUGUUCUUGUUAAAAAAAACAAUCGAUCAUCAGAAAUUUUAGGUUAAAUGAGUCAAUAACACCGAGAAAAUCAGAAAAGGAAGCGGACUAGGUAUUUUGAAUUCCUAGAUCUACUAUUCGUUGGUUUCGGUGAGCAUUUCGAGGAAAUUGGUAAAGGAUUUGGAAUGGAGUGUGAAUUUGAGGGAGAUUGGAGUUGUUUAAAGCGCGGCGCCAGCAAAGGGUCUUGGGGCGACUAGGGUAUGGGAGGGGAUUUGGGAGAGAUGAGGGAGAUGAGAGUGAAGUGUUUGUUUAGGGUUUGGGUA